UACAGAGGGUGCGAGCGUUACUCGGCCUUACUGGGCGUAAAGCGCACGUCGGUGGAGACGCAAGUCGGGUGUGAAAGCCCCGGGCUCAACCUGGGAAUUGCAUUCGAGACUGCAUUGCUGGAGUACGGAAGAGGAGGGCGGAAUUCCCGGUGUAGCGGUGAAAUGCGUAGAUAUCGGGAGGAACAUCAGUGGCGAAGGCGGCCCUCUGGUCCAGUACUGACACUCAAGUGCGAAAGCGUGGGGAGCAAACAGG
Molecule: ribosomal RNA, 253 nt
Filed under: uncultured bacterium
Lineage: Bacteria
Description: partial 16S ribosomal RNA
Rfam family: Bacterial small subunit ribosomal RNA
Source: RNAcentral